RNAcentral lists this ribosomal RNA (249 nucleotides) under uncultured Phyllobacteriaceae bacterium. RNAcentral describes it as "partial 16S ribosomal RNA". It matches the Rfam family "Bacterial small subunit ribosomal RNA", at positions 355 to 621 of the family's 1533-position model. Lineage: Bacteria; Pseudomonadati; Pseudomonadota; Alphaproteobacteria; Hyphomicrobiales; Phyllobacteriaceae. The record is from RNAcentral.
UGGGGAAUCUUAGACAAUGGGCGCAAGCCUGAUCCAGCCAUGCCGCGUGAGUGAUGACGGCCCUAGGGUUGUAAAGCUCUUUCAACGGUGAAGAUAAUGACGGUAACCGUAGAAGAAGCCCCGGCUAACUUCGUGCCAGCAGCCGCGGUAAUACAGAGGGUGCAAGCGUUAAUCGGAUUUACUGGGCGUAAAGCGUACGUAGGCGGAUUGUUAAGUGAGAGGUGAAAUCCCAGGGCUCAACACUGGAAC